Small nucleolar RNA from Echinops telfairi (small Madagascar hedgehog), 101 nucleotides. Lineage: Eukaryota; Metazoa; Chordata; Mammalia; Afrosoricida; Tenrecidae. The record is from Ensembl.
AUCUGUGUCCCUUUCGUACGUGGUGAUUGGGCUUCCACGCAUUUGAGUGGCAUGUGCCGCCCAUCAACCUUGUCCGAUGUCUGCACAUUACCCGUCUGAUA